UACGUAGGGGGCAAGCGUUGUCCGGAUUUACUGGGCGUAAAGAGCGUGUAGGCGGCCUCACAGGUCCGUUGUGAAAACUGAAGGCUUAACCUUCAGACGUCGACGGAAACCGUGUGGCUAGAGUCCGGAAGAGGAGAGUGGAAUUCCUGGUGUAGCGGUGAAAUGCGCAGAUAUCAGGAAGAACACCAAUGGCGAAGGCAGCUCUCUGGGACGGUACUGACGCUGAGACGCGAAAGCGUGGGGAGUGAACAGG
Molecule: ribosomal RNA, 253 nt
Filed under: uncultured bacterium
Lineage: Bacteria
Description: partial 16S ribosomal RNA
Rfam family: Bacterial small subunit ribosomal RNA
Source: RNAcentral